UGCAGGGACCAUGGUCUCCAUUUCGUCCACAUGCAGACAGGAGAGUGUAUAUGUGUGUGUGUGUGUGUGUGUUGGGGGGUGGGAUCAGAACCAUUGGAUCCACGGUUCCACAUUAUGUGCAAAUGUGGCCUCUGACAUAUGUGAAUGUGACCUCUAUCUGCUCCAAAGGAUACCCUGACACUCACCAUCAGCUUUGGAGGGAGGCCUAAGCAGCUGCAGAUAACAGAAUGGCAGGAAAUUGUGGUUGAAGACUGACCCCUGACAACUGCACUGCGGUGCUGGCAUUUCAGCAUCCGUUUGCCUUCACUGCAUGCAUGUUAGGAGAGAGAAGCAUUAUGUGGCUCAGAUUCAAAGAAGUGCAAGUGGAGAUCUAUCUGGGCAGCAGGGCUUCGAGCUACAAACCCACACAAUGUAGAGCUGGACUGUAUGUAGCAAAGGGCCAUUAUCUUUAUAAUGAGUGUUUGAAAUUCAGAUACAAACUAUGGGGCUUGUACUCAUCCCUAGUUAUAAUUAUAUAAUGGACUAAUUUGUAAUUUGCGUUCUGCCUUUUGAUAAAAAAUUUAAUUAAAGCGUGUUUGAUUGAAUCAGC
Long non-coding RNA from Hemicordylus capensis (graceful crag lizard), 589 nucleotides. RefSeq lists it as uncharacterized. NCBI's taxonomy places the organism in Eukaryota, Metazoa, Chordata, Lepidosauria, Squamata, Cordylidae. The record is from RefSeq and is a predicted model, not a curated record. The transcript is spliced from 2 exons.